UGGAUGGGGGAUGGGCUCCAAGGGGGGGGGGGGGAGCCGUAGCGUAGAGUUGGUUCAACGGGAGGUUGUGGACCAUCCGAGUGCGCGUGGGGAUGGGGGCCCUGUCGGUUGGAAAAUAGUUUUGUGGGGGGAUAAGGUUGGGGACGUGUGCCGAUUGGCAGGUACCAUACGAAUAAGGACCGGGGAAUUCCGUGCCAGCAGCCGCGGUAAUACGGAAGGUCCAGGCGUUAUCCGGAUUUAUUGGGUUUAAAGGGAGCGUGGGCUGGAGAUUAAGUGUGUUGUGAAAUGUAGACGCUCAACGUCUGAAUUGCAGCGCAUACUGGUUUCCUUGAGUACGCACAACGUUGGCGGAAUUCGUCGUGUAGCGGUGAAAUGCUUAGAUAUGACGAAGAACUCCGAUUGCGAAGGCAGCUGACGGGAGCGCAACUGACGCUUAAGCUCGAAGGUGCGGGUAUCAAACAGG
This 463-nucleotide ribosomal RNA is filed under the name uncultured Streptococcus sp. RNAcentral describes it as "partial 16S ribosomal RNA". It matches the Rfam family "Bacterial small subunit ribosomal RNA", at positions 321 to 776 of the family's 1533-position model. The record is from RNAcentral. Lineage: Bacteria; Bacillati; Bacillota; Bacilli; Lactobacillales; Streptococcaceae.